RNAcentral lists this transfer RNA (63 nucleotides) under Solenaia carinata. Its description in RNAcentral is "tRNA-Met". Lineage: Eukaryota; Metazoa; Mollusca; Bivalvia; Unionida; Unionidae. The record is from RNAcentral.
AAUAAGAUAAGCUAAACUAAGCUAGUGGGCCCAUAACCCAAAAAUGACACUCUCUCUUAUUAC